GAUGAACGCUGGCGGCGUGCUUAACACAUGCAAGUCGAACGGAAAGGCCCAAGCUUGCUUGGGUACUCGAGUGGCGAACGGGUGAGUAACACGUGGGUGAUCUGCCCUGCACUUCGGGAUAAGCCUGGGAAACUGGGUCUAAUACCGGAUAGGACCACAUUUUGGAUGGUGUGGUGGAAAGUUUUUCGGUGUGGGAUGAGCUCGCGGCCUAUCAGCUUGUUGGUGGGGUAAUGGCCUACCAAGGCGUCGACGGGUAGCCGGCCUGAGAGGGUGUACGGCCACAGUGGGACUGAGAGACGGCCCAGACUCCUACGGGAGGCAGCAGUGGGGAAUAUUGCACAAUGGGCGCAAGCCUGAUGCAGCGACGCCGCGGGGGGGAUGACGGCCUUCGGGUUGUAAACUCCUUUCGCUAGGGACGAAGCGUUAUGUGACGGUACCUGGAGAAGAAGCACCGGCUAACUACGUG
This 466-nucleotide ribosomal RNA is filed under the name uncultured bacterium. RNAcentral's name for it is "partial 16S ribosomal RNA". It matches the Rfam family "Bacterial small subunit ribosomal RNA", at positions 28 to 507 of the family's 1533-position model. The record is from RNAcentral.